RNAcentral lists this long non-coding RNA (2081 nucleotides) under Pan troglodytes (chimpanzee). RNAcentral's name for it is "long non-coding RNA NONPTRT009014". The record is from RNAcentral. Lineage: Eukaryota; Metazoa; Chordata; Mammalia; Primates; Hominidae.
UCCACCCGCCUCAGCUUCCCAAAGUGCUGGGAUUACAGGUGUGAGCCACCGCACCUGGCUGGAAUCUACAUUUUUAACAGUCUUCACAGGUGACUGGAGUUCCUGCUGAAAUUUGAGAACCUCUGCUCUUAACCUUUCUUCUUUGCCUCUAAAAGCCAUGCCUGUGACCUUGAGCCUUGUCUUACCUUUCUAACUCUCUUGUGUUGAGGGCAAUGGUGACAAGAGCCUCUGGACUUUGAACGCUUACAAAUAAACAGUGGGAGGCAUGUGGGAAGCCCUAGAAGGUCUGGAUGGCCAAGGGAGCCUAAUUUCAGAUGGACUAUUGUGAAAAUUGCAUAUUCAUUCAUUCAGUCAGCAUGCAUUUAUUGAGCAUCUACUAUGUGUAUCAGGAAGGACCAGGAGCUAGAGAAAAAGGUAAAUAGGGAUGACAGAGUCCACAGAAACCCACAAUCUGGCAGGCUCUGGGUUGUAUAACUCAAUGAGAAAGUGAAGAAGGUGAAGGCCUUACUUCACCACAGGCGGCAGGUGGGUGCGGGGAGAGAGUACCCCAUCGCCAAGGUCUUUGUCUGAACUCACUCCCUGCCCAGGGCAGGCAAGAAUCUCCUUUCCAGAAGUAAGGCUGUGCUGACCAAAGUUGGCUGAGCUGUUCUGUAACAGCUGCAAAGCCCAUGGUGUGAGGGGCUUUCUGUUUCAUUGCAGCUUCAUUGUGGGGAUCUAUGGGGAAAUUUAUUAUGAGGUUUAGCAGACAUUGCUCAGGCCACCCCAGACUUGCCUCUCAGUUUGGGCAAUCUAUUCAACCAAACUGCCGGGCAAACAAUUGCACAUUAUAAUUAGGAGAGACCUUAGGGGAGGUCUUCUAUGAGGGGUUCAUGAACCUUUGAACACUUUGCUACUCAACGUGUGGUCACUGGACCAGCAGCACCAGCAUUCUCCGGGAACCUGUUACAAAUGCAGAAUCUGAGCCCCCACCCCCGGCCCGCUGCACCAGAAUCUGCAAUUCAAAAAGAGACCACGAUCCCCAGGUGAUACAUGUGUACAUUAAGGUUUGAGACCCACUGGUUUAUUGAAUCCAUUGGGCAAAAUGUUUUGCAUUGUCUAUGAGGGAUCCCGGAGUUCUCAUGUGAUUUUCACAUUGACCUGUGACUACAAAAUUUAAUCGCUGCUUUGGAGAUUUGUGAAGUCCAGGGCAGUGUUGAUAAAAGGUUUUGCUUCCCUGAUCAAUCCCUGUGAGUUAUUUGGAGCUAGAGAUUUCUUCUAGGGUUAUACAUUAUGCAAGUAUGGAAGACGGUGAAGAAGUCUAUGGAAGGCUGUUGUCUCCAAACCUGGUGGUUGGCCUGAACUCACCAUAGAUCAGCAGGGCUGAGAGUCCGGGAGACAGGAAGUAGGGGAGAAUAAGGAAAACCUGGAAUGCACAAGGGACAAGAAGAACCCAGAUCUGUCACAGGUGACCUGCAGAAGGAAGCUACCAGGAGGCUGCUCUGCUCGCGCACCUGGCCCAGGACUCAUUGGAGCUGGAAGAGCUGCAGGCCUGGCCCGUAAUCAGCAACACCGAGCAGGUGCUUCAACAUCGCCCAGCCCUUCUGAGCCUACUGGAUGUGGCUUCACUUCUGCCUUCCAGUUCACUAUAGGUUUCUUUUGUGGCCAACCUUGGCCUGGAAACAUACAGCAGAAAGAAUCCUGGGAAACACAGUUCCAGCUUAGAUAUUGUUGCUGCAGUACAAGUUCUCAAACUCAACCUUCUCCUGGGCUAGGUAGUGCUUCUCGAACGUCAAUAUGCAGAGAAAUCACCUGACAGUCUUAUAAAAAUGCCAGAUUGAACUCAGCAGUUCUGGAUGAGGCCUGGGAUUGAGAACGUCUUGCAUGGUCCCAGGAGGUGAGGAACACUGUCUUCAGGAGCUAACAGUCCCGCUGGGUCAGGGAGCUUCCACGAGAUGACUAGAGCUGCACAUUAGGAUUACCUGGAGAGAUUUAAAACUAUCCCAUUGCUGGGCUGCGCCAGAGACCACUGACAUCAGAACACAGAUGGGUGAAGCCCAAGCCUCAGGAUGUUUAAAGUCCCUCAAGUGAUUCCAGAGUGCAGC